GAUGAACGCUGGCGGCGUGCCUAAUACAUGCAAGUCGAGCGAACAUACGAGGUUUUUGCUCCUCUGACGUUAGCGGCGGACGGGUGAGUCACACGUGGAUAACCUACCUAUAAGACUGGGAUAACUUCAGCAAAUCGUAGCUACUACCGGAUAAUUUAUUGAACCUCAUGGUUCAAUAGUUACAGUCGGUUUUUCUUUCGCUUAUAGCUUGCUCCGCACCGCAUUAGGUAGUUGUUAAGGUAAAGGCUUACCAAGGCAACGAUGCGUAGCCGACCUGACAGGGUGAUUGGACAGCCUGGAAGUGAGAAAGGGCACAGACGCAGAGGGGAGGCAGCAGUAGGGAAUCGUCCGGGAGGGGCGAGAGAUUGAGGGAGAAAAGCCGCGAGAGUGAUGAAGGUAUUCGGAGCGUAAAAUGCUGUUAUUAGGGAAGAACAAAUGUGUAAGUAACUAUGAAAGUAAUGACGGUACCUAAACAGAAAGCCACGGCUAACUACGUG
This 497-nucleotide ribosomal RNA is filed under the name uncultured bacterium. RNAcentral describes it as "partial 16S ribosomal RNA". It matches the Rfam family "Bacterial small subunit ribosomal RNA", at positions 28 to 507 of the family's 1533-position model. The record is from RNAcentral.